Molecule: unclassified non-coding RNA, 323 nt
Filed under: soil metagenome
Description: partial contains 5.8S ribosomal RNA, internal transcribed spacer 2, and large subunit ribosomal RNA
Rfam family: 5.8S ribosomal RNA (bases 1-120)
Source: RNAcentral
GAUGAAGAACGUAGCGAAAUGCGAUAAGUAAUGCGAAUUGCAGAAUUCAGUGAGUCAUUGAAUCUUUGAACGCACAUUGCGCCCUGUGGUAUUCCGCAGGGCAUGCCUGUUCGAGCGUCAUUUCAACCCUCAAGCUCUGCUUGGUGUUGGGCCCUGCCCGCUGCGGCCGGCCCUAAAGACAGUGGCGGUGCCGCCUGGCCCUGAGCGUAGUACAUCUCUCGCUCCAGUGCCCGGUGUUAGCCUGCCAGAACCCCAACUCUCGUGGUUGACCUCGGAUCAGGUAGGGAUACCCGCUGAACUUAAGCAUAUCAAUAAGCGGAGGA